This 414-nucleotide ribosomal RNA is filed under the name uncultured bacterium. Its description in RNAcentral is "bacterial SSU rRNA". It matches the Rfam family "Bacterial small subunit ribosomal RNA", at positions 355 to 787 of the family's 1533-position model. The record is from RNAcentral.
UGGGGAAUAUUGCACAAUGGGGGAAGCCCUGAUGCAGCGACGCCGCGUGAGCGAAGAAGUAUUUCGGUAUGUAAAGCUCUGUCAGCAGGGAAGAAGAUGACGGUACCUGACCAAGAAGCUCCGGCUAAAUACGUGCCAGCAGCCGCGGUAAUACGUAUGGAGCAAGCGUUAUCCGGAUUUAUUGGGUUUAAAGGGUGCGUAGGCGGCGGUGCAAGUCAGCGGUAAAAGCCCGGGGCUCAACCCCGGCGAGCCGUUGAAACUGCAGUGCUAGAGAAGGCGAGAGGUACGCGGAAUGCGCAGUGUAGCGGUGAAAUGCUUAGAUAUCACGCAGAACUCCGAUUGCGAAGGCAGCAUACCGGCGCUCAACUGACGCUCAGGCACGAAAGCGUGGGUAUCGAACAGGAUUAGAUACCC